UACGGAGGGAGCUAGCGUUGUUCGGAAUUACUGGGCGUAAAGGGCGCGUAGGCGGUUGUGUAAGUCAGAUGUGAAAACCAUCGGCUUAACCGAUUGGAUUGCAUUUGAUACUGCAUAACUUGAGUUCAGUAGAGGAGAGUGGAAUUCCCAGUGUAGCGGUGGAAUGCGUAGAUAUUGGGAAGAACACCAGUGGCGAAGGCGGCUCUCUGGACUGAUACUGACGCUGAGGCGCGAAAGCUAGGGGAGCGAACAGG
Molecule: ribosomal RNA, 254 nt
Filed under: uncultured bacterium
Lineage: Bacteria
Description: partial 16S ribosomal RNA
Rfam family: Bacterial small subunit ribosomal RNA
Source: RNAcentral